UGGGGAAUAUUGGACAAUGGGCGAAAGCCUGAUCCAGCAAUGCCGCGUGUGUGAAGAAGGCCUUCGGGUUGUAAAGCACUUUAAGUUGGGAAGAAAAGCUCUGGCUAAUAUCUAGAGCCUUGACGGUACCAACAGAAUAAGCACCGGCUAACUCUGUGCCACAGCCGCGGUAAUACAGAGGGUGCUAGCGUUAAUCGGAUUUACUGGGCGUAAAGCGUGCGUAGGCGGUUUGAUAAGUCGAUUGNGAAAGCCCCGGGCUUAACCUGGGAAUUGCAGUUGAUACUGUCAGACUAGAAAACGGUAGAGGGAGGCGGAACUCCAGGUGUAGCGGUGAAAUGCGUAGAUAUCUGGAAGAACACCGAUGGCGAAGGCAACCUCCUGGGUCUGUUUUGACGCUGAGGCACGAAAGCGUGGGUAGCAAACAGGAUUAGAUACCCUGGUAGUCCACGCCGUAAACGAAUGAGAACUUGACGUUGGUUUGCUUAGCAAAUCGGUGUCGUAGCUAACGCGAUAAGUUCUCCGCCUGGGGAGUACGGCCGCAAGGUUGAAACUCAAAGGAAUUGACGGGGUCAUAGCUG
This 578-nucleotide ribosomal RNA is filed under the name uncultured bacterium. RNAcentral describes it as "partial 16S ribosomal RNA". It matches the Rfam family "Bacterial small subunit ribosomal RNA", at positions 355 to 932 of the family's 1533-position model. The record is from RNAcentral.